UCAGGUAGGACUACGCGCUGAACUUAAGCAUAUCAAUAAGCGCAGGAAAAGAAAAUAACCAUGAUUCCCCCAGUAACGGCGAGUGAAGCGGGAAAAGCUCAAAUUUGAAAUCUGGCAACAUUUCUUUUGUUGUCCGAGUUGUAAUUUCAAGAAGCUGCUUUGAGUGUACACGGUUUACCUAAGUUCCUUGGAACAGGACGUCAUAGAGGGUGAGAACCCCGUCUUUGGUAAGCUGGGCGUAUGCCGGAUAAAGCGCUUUCGAAGAGUCGAGUUGUUUGGGAAUGCAGCUCUAAAUGGGUGGUAAAUUUCAUCUAAAGCUAAAUAUUGGCGAGAGACCGAUAGCGAACAAGUAGAGUGAUCGAAAGAUGAAAAGAACUUUGAAAAGAGAGUUAAAUAGUACGUGAAAUUGCUGAAAGGACGAAGCAUUGGAAACCAGUCUUACCCGGGUGAGAUCAGUUGCCUUUUCGCAAGGCGAUGCACUCUGAACCUGUUGGUAGGUCAGCAUCAGUUUCUGGGGGUGGAAAAAGGAUCUAGGAAGGUACCUUUUCGGGUUCUGCCUGAAGAGGGUUUAUAGCCUAGGUUGUAAUACAUCCACUGGGGACUGAGGACUGCGAUCUUUAUGGUCAAGGAUGUUGACAUAAUGGUUUUCAAUGACCCGUCUUGAAACACGGACCAAGGAGUCUAGCAUCUAUGCGAGUGUUUGGGUGAUGAAAACCCAUCCGCGAAAUGAAAGUGAAUGCAGGUGGGACCGUCCUUUUUGUGGCGCGCACCACCGACCGACCUGGAAGGUUUUUACUGGAAAGGUUUGAGUAAGAGCAUAGCUGUUGGGACCCGAAAGAUGGUGAACUAUGCCUGAAUAGGGUGAAGCCAG
Molecule: unclassified non-coding RNA, 871 nt
Filed under: Schizosaccharomyces octosporus
Lineage: Eukaryota; Fungi; Ascomycota; Schizosaccharomycetes; Schizosaccharomycetales; Schizosaccharomycetaceae
Description: sequence contains 28S rRNA gene
Rfam family: Eukaryotic large subunit ribosomal RNA
Source: RNAcentral